This 83-nucleotide ribosomal RNA is filed under the name Bacillus licheniformis. RNAcentral describes it as "partial 16S ribosomal RNA". It matches the Rfam family "Bacterial small subunit ribosomal RNA", at positions 1 to 80 of the family's 1533-position model. The record is from RNAcentral. Lineage: Bacteria; Bacillati; Bacillota; Bacilli; Caryophanales; Bacillaceae.
UACUUUAUGGAGAGUUUGAUCCUGGCUCAGGACGAACGCUGGCGGCGUGCCUAAUACAUGCAAGUCGAGCGGACCGACGGGAG